GCGUUCCAGAAAGGACCCAGCGCUCUUCUGGUGGGCCAAGUCCAGAGAGGCCAGUUUGGGAGCCUCAUGUCCCUCGGUCCCCGGUGGAGCCCGUGACGCCCUACCCCGAGAAAACGAAGCUUUGCUUAGGCUACGCUGAUAGUUUAUAACCGUGUGAUUCUUAUUAGCAGUUCAUUUGUAAUUAUGCCUUAAAAUGAUGGCAGUACCUCCUACCUGUAGCCUCUCAAACGAUUAGCACAAAAUGUCAGGGUAGAACUGGGGCUUGCAAAUACGGCUUCUAAGUAGAUCAUGUGUAAGUAGGGCUGGAAAUUCGAAAGUGGCUCAAGGUGAAAGAAGGUCACCGCAAGCAAGCUGCGCAGGACCUGGAGGACGACAGGUGCCUGCUGCUCUGGAUUGCCUUGGUCUGUUACCUUGCUGGAAUGCAGGGAUUUCCUCUCGUCACA
Long non-coding RNA from Ochotona princeps (American pika), 443 nucleotides. RefSeq lists it as uncharacterized. The transcript is spliced from 2 exons. The record is from RefSeq and is a predicted model, not a curated record. NCBI's taxonomy places the organism in Eukaryota, Metazoa, Chordata, Mammalia, Lagomorpha, Ochotonidae.